AAAAUAACUGAAGUUGGAUUUGUAAAUAAUAAAACCAACUCAUUUCUAUAAGACAUAAAAAAGUUCAUUCUGUGAUCUACCUCUGUGCCGCCAUACCUCCAGCGUGCUAGUAAUGUUCAAUUCGUUCACAGUUGGAGAUUUUUUUUCAAAUUAGAAAAAAAUGAUCUGAACUUGUAUAUGAAUGAUUCUGAAACCUAAGUAUUUUCGUUCUUGACUAUUUGCCAAUGUCCACUAGUAUCCUUACGCACCCCUUUUUCUGUGUAGGUACUUGAUCGAGCAUAUGCUAUAUCUAAGACAUGGAAUGGUGCUAUGGUAAUACUCUCCGGGUAUUUCAACACUACACUUAAGCUAAUUAACUAGUGAACAAUUUAUACUUGCAUUCAGGAUUACAUUCGAGUCUUUUGUUGGUCUCAUCCUAGUACCAGGCUACCAGCCAUUAAGGAAGGCCUCGAAGAACCCUCGGCCACCAUCACAUACACCAGCAGCAAUGUCAUGUCGAUCCAACCAUUACGGCGCUAAAAUGGUAAUGGAACACUACUUGACUGAGCCUACUAUGCUAUAUCUAAGACGUGUC
Lolium rigidum is the source of this 574-nucleotide long non-coding RNA. RefSeq lists it as uncharacterized. The transcript has 3 exons. Lineage: Eukaryota; Viridiplantae; Streptophyta; Magnoliopsida; Poales; Poaceae. The record is from RefSeq and is a predicted model, not a curated record.